Molecule: ribosomal RNA, 731 nt
Filed under: uncultured Streptomyces sp.
Lineage: Bacteria; Bacillati; Actinomycetota; Actinomycetes; Kitasatosporales; Streptomycetaceae
Description: bacterial SSU rRNA
Rfam family: Bacterial small subunit ribosomal RNA
Source: RNAcentral
GCGGACAGAUGGGAGCUUGCUCCCUGAUGUUAGCGGCGGACGGGUGAGUAACACGUGGGUAACCUGCCUGUAAGACUGGGAUAACUCCGGGAAACCGGGGCUAAUACCGGAUGCUUGUUUGAACCGCAUGGUUCAAACAUAAAAGGUGGCUUCGGCUACCACUUACAGAUGGACCCGCGGCGCAUUAGCUAGUUGGUGAGGUAAUGGCUCACCAAGGCAACGAUGCGUAGCCGACCUGAGAGGGUGAUCGGCCAUACUGGGACUGAGACACGGCCCAGACUCCUACGGGAGGCAGCAGUAGGGAAUCUUCCGCAAUGGACGAAAGUCUGACGGAGCAACGCCGCGUGAGUGAUGAAGGUUUUCGGAUCGUAAAGCUCUGUUGUUAGGGAAGAACAAGUACCGUUCGAAUAGGGCGGUACCUUGACGGUACCUAACCAGAAAGCCACGGCUAACUACGUGCCAGCAGCCGCGGUAAUACGUAGGUGGCAAGCGUUGUCCGGAAUUAUUGGGCGUAAAGGGCUCGCAGGCGGUUUCUUAAGUCUGAUGUGAAAGCCCCCGGCUCAACCGGGGAGGGUCAUUGGAAACUGGGGAACUUGAGUGCAGAAGAGGAGAGUGGAAUUCCACGUGUAGCGGUGAAAUGCGUAGAGAUGUGGAGGAACACCAGUGGCGAAGGCGACUCUCUGGUCUGUAACUGACGCUGAGGAGCGAAAGCGUGGGGAGCGAACAGGAUU